AUUACCUUGGGAUCUUGUUAAAAUGCAGAUUCUGUUUCAAUAGGAUUGAAGCUAAACUGGGUCUAAGAUUCUGAAUUUCCAACAAUUUCCUAGGUGAUGCUGA
This 103-nucleotide microRNA precursor is filed under the name Ailuropoda melanoleuca (giant panda). RNAcentral describes it as "mir-544 microRNA precursor family". It matches the Rfam family "mir-544 microRNA precursor family". The record is from Rfam by way of RNAcentral. Lineage: Eukaryota; Metazoa; Chordata; Mammalia; Carnivora; Ursidae.